RNAcentral lists this ribosomal RNA (497 nucleotides) under uncultured bacterium. Its description in RNAcentral is "partial 16S ribosomal RNA". It matches the Rfam family "Bacterial small subunit ribosomal RNA", at positions 28 to 507 of the family's 1533-position model. The record is from RNAcentral.
GAUGAACGCUGGCGGCGUGCCUAAUACAUGCAAGUCGAGCGAACAGACGAGGAGCUUGCUGCUCUGACGUUAGCGGCGGACGGGUGAGUAACACGUGGAUAACCUACCUAUAAGACUGGGAUAACUUCGGGAAACCGGAGCUAAUACCGGAUAAUAUAUUGAACCGCAUGGUUCAAUAGUGAAAGACGGUUUUGCUGUCACUUAUAGAUGGAUCCGCGCCGCAUUAGCUAGUUGGUAAGGUAACGGCUUACCAAGGCAACGAUGCGUAGGCGACCUGAGAGGGUGAUCGGCCACACGGGAACUGAGACACGGUCCAGACACCUAGGGGAGGCAGCAGUAGGGAAUCUUCCGCAAUGGGCGAAAGCUUGACGGAGCAACGCCGCGUGAGGGAUGAAGGUCUUCGGAUCGUAAAACUCUGUUAUUAGGGAAGAACAAAUGUGUAAGUAACUAUGCACGUCUUGACGGUACCUAAUCAGAAAGCCACGGCUAACUACGUG